UCACCAUGUAGGCCUUUAUGUGCAUGAGUCUGGCCUCCCUGUACUUGUGGGCUAAAACAAUAAAUUAUGUAUCUUACAUCAUUACAUGUAUGUUAGUGCUAAAUUAAAAUAUAGUUUUACCAGUCAGAAGAGUGGAUUUAAGAGCAUUCAGGCUAAUAUCACCGCUAUAGCUAGCUUGAGGGUAAUUAGUCUUAACAGUCACGCUGAACUGCGGAACAACAAACAUGGAGGACAAAAAGAAGCUGCAUUAAAAAAAGAGACAGUGGAGUGGAAUAUUGUAGCAUCCAGAACGAAGGCACAGCGACAGGUCCAAACACCAGUAUGUUAGGUUAUGAAGACGCUAAAUGGACCGUAGCUGUGAAUGAGGGUGUGCCUCGCCUCGUGGCAGCUGGGAUGGAUGACACCAUAAAAAAAACCUGAAACAGAUCUUUGCACGAUACUCCAUUUGUAAAGACAUGGUACGGAAUGUCUCAUCCUUAUCCCAACAUGUGGACAAAAACAAAAUUAAUUAUACAACAGCAGUGUGAC
Nerophis lumbriciformis (worm pipefish) is the source of this 528-nucleotide long non-coding RNA. RefSeq lists it as uncharacterized. The record is from RefSeq and is a predicted model, not a curated record. NCBI's taxonomy places the organism in Eukaryota, Metazoa, Chordata, Actinopteri, Syngnathiformes, Syngnathidae.